UACGUAGGGUGCAAGCGUUGUCCGGAAUUAUUGGGCGUAAAGAGCUCGUAGGCGGUCUGUCGCGUCUGGUGUGAAAAUCCAGGGCUUAACCCUGGACCUGCAUCGGGUACGGGCAGACUAGAGUGCGGUAGGGGAGAUCGGAAUUCCUGGUGUAGCGGUGAAAUGCGCAGAUAUCAGGAGGAACACCGGUGGCGAAGGCGGAUCUCUGGGCCGUAACUGACGCUGGAGGAAGCGAAAGCUGG
RNAcentral lists this ribosomal RNA (242 nucleotides) under uncultured bacterium. RNAcentral describes it as "partial 16S ribosomal RNA". It matches the Rfam family "Bacterial small subunit ribosomal RNA", at positions 524 to 763 of the family's 1533-position model. The record is from RNAcentral.